Molecule: ribosomal RNA, 158 nt
Filed under: Debaryomyces hansenii
Lineage: Eukaryota; Fungi; Ascomycota; Pichiomycetes; Serinales; Debaryomycetaceae
Description: 5.8S ribosomal RNA
Rfam family: 5.8S ribosomal RNA
About the family: 5.8S ribosomal RNA (5.8S rRNA) is a component of the large subunit of the eukaryotic ribosome. It is transcribed by RNA polymerase I as part of the 45S precursor that also contains 18S and 28S rRNA.
Source: RNAcentral
AAUCUUUCAACAACGGAUCUCUUGUCUCUCGCAUCGAUGAAGAACGCAGCGACAUGCGAUAAGUAAUAUGACUUGCAGAUUUUCGUGAAUCAUCGAAUCUUUGAACGCUCAUUGCGCCCUCUGGUAUUCAAGAGGGCAUGCCUGUUUGAGCGUCUUUU